This 253-nucleotide ribosomal RNA is filed under the name uncultured bacterium. RNAcentral's name for it is "partial 16S ribosomal RNA". It matches the Rfam family "Bacterial small subunit ribosomal RNA", at positions 524 to 776 of the family's 1533-position model. The record is from RNAcentral.
UACGUAGGGUGCGAGCGUUGUCCGGAAUUAUUGGGCGUAAAGAGCUCGUAGGCGGUCUGUCGCGUCUGCUGUGAAAACCCGAGGCUCAACCUCGGGCCUGCAGUGGGUACGGGCAGACUAGAGUGCGGUAGGGGAGAAUGGAAUUCCUGGUGUAGCGGUGGAAUGCGCAGAUAUCAGGAGGAACACCGAUGGCGAAGGCAGGUCACUGGGCCGCAACUGACGCUGAGGAGCGAAAGCAUGGGGAGCGAACAGG